ACACUGAAGUACAUGGUGGGAAAUAAUGUGAGAAUCAUUAACUGUUCGUGCAACGGUAUUUUUUAUUUAAAUAAAAAAAAGUCUGAGCGCCACCCAGUGU
The submitters of this non-coding RNA (100 nucleotides) gave its source as unclassified sequences. The record is from Rfam.